GGCCCAGUGGUCUAGUAGUAUGAUACUCGCUUCGGGUAAGUCCCUCAUACCUUGGUAUGAAAAUUUGUGAGUGGUCCCGGGUUCAAUUCCCGGCUGGGCCC
Molecule: non-coding RNA, 101 nt
Organism: Coniophora puteana RWD-64-598 SS2
Lineage: Eukaryota; Fungi; Basidiomycota; Agaricomycetes; Boletales; Coniophoraceae
Source: the annotation of a RefSeq genome assembly